This 253-nucleotide ribosomal RNA is filed under the name uncultured bacterium. RNAcentral describes it as "partial 16S ribosomal RNA". It matches the Rfam family "Bacterial small subunit ribosomal RNA", at positions 524 to 776 of the family's 1533-position model. The record is from RNAcentral.
UACAGAGGUCUCAAGCGUUGUUCGGAUUCAUUGGGCGUAAAGGGUGCGUAGGUGGUGGGGUAAGUCGGAUGUGAAAUCCCGGGGCUCAACCCCGGAACUGCAUUCGAUACUGCCUUGCUCGAGUACUGGAGAGGAGACUGGAAUUUACGGUGUAGCAGUGAAAUGCGUAGAUAUCGGGAGGAACACCAGUGGCGAAGGCGACUACCUGGCCUGUUCUUGACGCUGAGGCGCGAAAGCUAGGGGAGCAAACGGG